GGGGUUGUGCCUCAAAGGUAUAGCGCACGCCUAGAAUGCGUGAGGCACUGGGUUCAAUCCUCAGCACCACA
This 71-nucleotide transfer RNA is filed under the name Marmota monax (woodchuck). Its description in RNAcentral is "tRNA.Ser". The record is from RNAcentral. Lineage: Eukaryota; Metazoa; Chordata; Mammalia; Rodentia; Sciuridae.